AGUGGCGGACGGGUGAGUAACGCGUGGGUAACCUGCCUCAUACAGGGGAUAACAGUUAGAAAUGACUGCUAAUACCGCAUAAGACCACAGCACCGCAUGGUGCAGGGGUAAAAACUCCGGUGGUAUGAGAUGGACCCGCGUCUGAUUAGGUAGUUGGUGGGGUAACGGCCUACCAAGCCGACGAUCAGUAGCCGACCUGAGAGGGUGAACGGCCACAUUGGGACUGAGACACGGCCCAA
Molecule: ribosomal RNA, 239 nt
Filed under: uncultured bacterium
Lineage: Bacteria
Description: partial 16S ribosomal RNA
Rfam family: Bacterial small subunit ribosomal RNA
Source: RNAcentral